UGUGGUUAUUAUAGCAAAGAGGAUACACCUGUUCCCAUUCCGAACACAGAAGUUAAGCUCUUUAGCGCCGAUGGUACUUGGUGGGAAGCCGCCUGGGAGAGUAGGACGUAGCCGCGU
This 117-nucleotide ribosomal RNA is filed under the name Paraclostridium tenue. Lineage: Bacteria; Bacillati; Bacillota; Clostridia; Peptostreptococcales; Peptostreptococcaceae. The record is from RNAcentral.